GAUGAACGCUGGCGGCGUGCCUAAUACAUGCAAGUCGAGCGAACAGACGAGGAGCUUGCUCCUCUGACGUUAGCGGCGGACGGGUGAGUAACACGUGGAUAACCUACCUAUAAGACUGGGAUAACUUCGGGAAACCGGAGCUAAUACCGGAUAAUAUAUUGAACCGCAUGGUUCAAUAGUGAAAGACGGUUUUGCUGUCACUUAUAGAUGGAUCCGCGCCGCAUUAGCUAGUUGGUAAGGUAACGGCUUACCAAGGCAACGAUGCGUAGACGACCUGAGAGAGUGAUCGCCCACACUGGAGCUGAGACACGGUCCAGACUCCUACGGGAGGCAGCAGUAGGGAAUCUUCCGCAAUGGGCGAAAGCCUGACGGAGCAACGCCGCGUGAGUGAUGAAGGUCUUCGGAUCGUAAAACUCUGUUAUUAGGGAAGAACAAAUGUGUAAGUAACUAUGCACGUCUUGACGGUACCUAAUCAGAAAGCCACGGCUAACUACGUG
RNAcentral lists this ribosomal RNA (497 nucleotides) under uncultured bacterium. RNAcentral describes it as "partial 16S ribosomal RNA". It matches the Rfam family "Bacterial small subunit ribosomal RNA", at positions 28 to 507 of the family's 1533-position model. The record is from RNAcentral.